UUGCCAGACUCCUACGGGAGGCAGCAGUGAGGAAUAUUGGUCAAUGGGCGGAAGCCUGAACCAGCCAAGUCGCGUGAGGGACUAAGGCCCUGCGGGUCGUAAACCUCUUUUGCCGGGGAGCAGUGGUCCGGACGCGUCCGGACCGGGAGAGUACCCGGAGAAAAAGCAUCGGCUAACUCCGUGCCAGCAGCCGCGGUAAUACGGAAGGUCCGGGCGUUAUCCGGAUUUAUUGGGUUUAAAGGGAGCGUAGGCCGGUCUUUAAGCGUGCCGUGAAAUUUUGUGGCUCAACCAUGAGAGUGCGGCGCGAACUGGAGACCUUGAGUGCGCGGAAGGCAGGCGGAAUUCGUGGUGUAGCGGUGAAAUGCUUAGAUAUCACGAAGAACCCCGAUUGCGAAGGCAGCCUGCCGCAGCGUUACUGACGCUGAAGCUCGAAAGCGCGGGUAUCGAACAGGAUUAGAUACCCCUGUAAU
Molecule: ribosomal RNA, 470 nt
Filed under: uncultured bacterium
Lineage: Bacteria
Description: bacterial SSU rRNA
Rfam family: Bacterial small subunit ribosomal RNA
Source: RNAcentral